UACGGGGGGGGCAAGCGUUGUUCGGAAUUACUGGGCGUAAAGGGCUCGUAGGUGGCCAACUAAGUCAGACGUGAAAUCCCUCGGCUUAACCGGGGAACUGCGUCUGAUACUGGAUGGCUUGAGUUUGGGAGAGAGAUGCGGAAUUCCAGGUGUAGCGGUGAAAUGCGUAGAUAUCUGGAGGAACACCGGUGGCGAAGGCGGCAUCCUGGACCAACACUGACACUGAGGAGCGAAAGCCAGGGGAGCAAACGGG
This 253-nucleotide ribosomal RNA is filed under the name uncultured bacterium. Its description in RNAcentral is "partial 16S ribosomal RNA". It matches the Rfam family "Bacterial small subunit ribosomal RNA", at positions 524 to 776 of the family's 1533-position model. The record is from RNAcentral.